This 61-nucleotide transfer RNA is filed under the name Heterocephalus glaber (naked mole-rat). It matches the Rfam family "tRNA". From Rfam's summary of the family: Transfer RNA (tRNA) molecules are approximately 80 nucleotides in length. Lineage: Eukaryota; Metazoa; Chordata; Mammalia; Rodentia; Bathyergidae. The record is from Rfam by way of RNAcentral.
GGGAAUGUAGCUCAGUGGCAGAGUGCUUGCUUAGCAUGCAUGAGGUCUGGUUCCAUCCCCA